GACGAACGCUGGCGGCGUGCUUAACACAUGCAAGUCGAACGGAAAGGCCCUGCUUUUGUGGGGUUCUCGAGUGGCGAACGGGUGAGUAACACGUGAGUAACCUGCCCUUGACUUUGGGAUAACUUCAGGAAACUGGGGCUAAUACCGGAUAGGGGCUCCUGCUGCAUGGUGGGGGUUGGAAAGUUUCGGCGGUUGGGGAUGGACUCGCGGCUUAUCAGCUGGUUGGUGGGGUAGUGGCUUACCAAGGCUUUGACGGGUAGCCGGCCUGAGAGGGUGACCGGCGACAUUGGGACUGAGAUACGGCGCAGACUCCUACGGGAGGCAGCAGUGGGGAAUAUUGCACAAUGGGCGGAAGCCUGAUGCAGCAACGCCGCGUGCGGGAUGACGGCUUUCGGGUUGUAAACAGCUUUCGCAUGUGACGAAGCGUGAGUGACGGUAAUGGGUAAAGAAGCACCGGCUAACUACGUG
This 468-nucleotide ribosomal RNA is filed under the name uncultured bacterium. Its description in RNAcentral is "partial 16S ribosomal RNA". It matches the Rfam family "Bacterial small subunit ribosomal RNA", at positions 28 to 507 of the family's 1533-position model. The record is from RNAcentral.